This 465-nucleotide ribosomal RNA is filed under the name uncultured bacterium. Its description in RNAcentral is "partial 16S ribosomal RNA". It matches the Rfam family "Bacterial small subunit ribosomal RNA", at positions 28 to 507 of the family's 1533-position model. The record is from RNAcentral.
GACGAACGCUGGCGGCGUGCUUAACACAUGCAAGUCGAGCGGUAAGGCCCCUUCGGGGGUACACGAGCGGCGAACGGGUGAGUAACACGUGAGCAAUCUGCCCAUCACAUCGGGUUAACUCCGGGAAACCGAAGCUAAUACCGAAUACGACCACCUCCGGCAUCGGAUGGUGGUGGAAAGUUCCGGCGGUGAUGGAUGAGCUCGCGGCCUAUCAGCUUGUUGGUGGGGUAACGGCCCACCAAGGCUUCGACGGGUAGCCGGCCUGAGAGGGUGACCGGCCACACUGGGACUGAGACACGGCCCAGACUCCUACGGGAGGCAGCAGUGGGGAAUAUUGGACAAUGGGCGAAAGCCUGAUCCAGCAACGCCGCGUGAGGGAUGACGGCCUUCGGGUUGUAAACCUCUUUCAGCAGGGACGAAGCGCAAGUGACGGUACCUGCAGAAGAAGCACCGGCCAACUACGUG